RNAcentral lists this transfer RNA (73 nucleotides) under Cavia porcellus (domestic guinea pig). It matches the Rfam family "tRNA". From Rfam's summary of the family: Transfer RNA (tRNA) molecules are approximately 80 nucleotides in length. Their secondary structure includes four short double-helical elements and three loops (D, anti-codon, and T loops). Further hydrogen bonds mediate the characteristic L-shaped molecular structure. tRNAs have two regions of fundamental functional importance: the anti-codon, which is responsible for specific mRNA codon recognition, and the 3' end, to which the tRNAs corresponding amino acid is attached (by aminoacyl-tRNA synthetases). tRNAs cope with the degeneracy of the genetic code in two manners: having more than one tRNA (with a specific anti-codon) for a particular amino acid; and 'wobble' base-pairing, i.e. permitting non-standard base-pairing at the 3rd anti-codon position. Lineage: Eukaryota; Metazoa; Chordata; Mammalia; Rodentia; Caviidae. The record is from Rfam by way of RNAcentral.
GGGAAUGUGGCUCAGUGACAGAGCUCUUGCCUUGUAUGCAACAAGGCCCUGAGUUUGAUCCCCAGCACCACCA